AGAACAUCAGGUGAAAGCAGCUGAUUUACAGGAAAUAAAUGUCACUGACAGCUGAGAUUUCACUAAUGUUCUCCACCUCACUCAGUUUUUACCAGUUCUUGUUGUUGUUGUGCCCUCUCUCAGACUUAUUUGAUCUGCACAACUAUGAUAGGAAAAGUCUCAAUGUUUAAGUCAUACCUGAACUUUUACUUUCCCUAUGCAGUACGCUGACAAACAUCAAUAGCCUUGAACACAUCUGAGAAACAAGGAUGUUCUAUAACCUUCUUCAACAAAAAAGCCGGAGAGAAAGACGGAGAAGGUGAAGACAAGAGAAGUCUGUCUGGUCAGUAGCCUCUAGAGUUUUCCCCUCCCUGGUGUUCCUGUCUCUGUUUGUGUUUGUGUGGGGGACUCCUCCCACUCUCCGUGGUUGUCUGAGGACCUGAUUACCUGCUCACUUGUCCGACUGCUUAAACCUGCAAGUCAUCAACUCAUCAGUCCUGCAGUAUAUCAACCCUGGUUCUUCAUUCACUCUCUGCCAGAUCGUUGUUUCUACAUGACAGUGCCAAAAUAACCUUCAUAGUGGGCCUUCAUAUGGGGAAUGUAUUAAACUGGGCUACUGCUACUAUUUCAUUUCUGAGCUGAGGAAGGUUUUUGAUCAGCCACUUCAGGGAAAUGUUCAGGGAGCGGGUGAGUGCAUAUAUUGUGGUCAGACUGGUCCUUUCCUCGCCACCUGCCCCCUUCAGCCAAAAGGAAGGGCUCAUCGGUAGAUCUGAGGAUACUGGUGAGCCAAACUUCUUUGUCUGUUCCCCGACCUAGUAUGCAAGACACUCUUUUUUUGGAAUAAUGAAUCUUGGUCUCUGUCAGCUUUUGUGGAUUCUGGAGCCGAUGAGAACUUUAUGGAUCGGGAAUUUGCUCUCCAGGCAGGCAUUCAGAUGACUGCACUCAGCCCCCCCUGAUGGCUAAUGCUCUUGAUGGAAGGCUUUUGGCUCAUGUGACCCACCAAAGUGCUCCUGUGCUUCUGCUUCUCUCUGGAAACCACCGUGAACAAAUUUCAGCUCCAUGUCCUACCAUCACCUAAUGCACCUCUGAUCCUUGGACACCCCUGAGGUAGCUGCCAUCCCACCAGUCUUUGAGCUGCCAGAUUUGUCAUUUUUCCCACCUGCUUGAAUCAGACACCAGAGUCAGUGAACGCACCAUGUCAACAAGAUGAAUCACGAAAACAAGCUUUCAUCAGUAAUUCAGCCAUCUUCUCCUCCUCCUCCUGAAGAAGAAAUUGUGUAUCCGGAUGUCUCUUUUUGAUGUUUCUCCCCCCAGACUCUAUAUAGUUGGUCUGCAAUUAAAACAGAAAGCAGGUUUCACCAAUCUGAAACUUUAAAACUCUCUCAGUUCAAGACAGACUGAGAUCCAGAAGUUCCCAACAGUGUUGGAUCACAUGAAUGCAUCAGGCAGCAAGGCAUCCACCAGGGAAAGCUGUGCGCUAAUGGGGGUGGCGGGGUAAUUAAAGAGACGUACAUCAACACCACACUGGAACCAAGCCUACGCCCUGGUGUUAAACUCACCGAAGUUCUCUCUUUGCUCGUUACAGCCAAUCUCCUUCAACGCGUCCAGAACCACUUCGACGACUCCGGACUCAGUGAAGGUUGUGACCAGCACAUCUGAGAUUUCUAUAUCAUUUUUGCCUUGCAGUGCUCUGCGUCUGACCCGUGGCUCUUCCCUGCGGUCCAUGAUCGCAGAGCAGAACUUCUGUAACUGUAUGACGCUCAAAUCCUCCAGCAGGUCGUUUAGAGCGCGUUUAACGGUCUUGGGAGGCAUCUCUGCAUCAGAGGGGAGAAAAAACACUGCUGCUGUGAGCUUAGAUCACCGUGGCUGGACUGAGAAGCCUUUAUUUGGGCUGUCUUGUACCCGGAGACCAGAAGUGCAAUGAAAAGAGCUCACUAGAAGCAGAUACGAUCUGAAAAGGAAACUGAAUUUCCUUCCUGACCUCGAACACGACCACUACCAGCCUGCAGUGAAGUAUCAGUGUGGAGAGCCUUGUCCGGGGAGGAGACAGACAAGCUGGAGCAGGCCAGCGAUGAUGACAAGACCUACUACAUCAUCGAAAAGGAGCCCCUCGUCAAACACAUACAUCACUGUUCCUAAGGAGAACAGCACAUUGAACUGUGCAGCCUUCACCGGAGGGAUCAUAGAGGCUUCCCCGCCAUGGUCACCGUCCACUGGCACAAAGGCACCACGCUCAUGAGACAGAGACAAAGCACUGUAAGGCAGAUAGUGAAGGGACAAGAAGUUGAGAAAUUGAGAUGGCUGUGUGUGAGGAAGGAGGUAUGAUAUUUAAUGACUGCUGUCUCUGUAAAGACCGCUGCAGACUGUGGUGAAGGCAGUGUAAUCAUUUUGUUUAAGAAUGGGUUGUAAAUUCCCUGAUUUAAGAGGACAAACAGUUGUUUAAUAUCAUUGAAUGUAAGCCGAUGUAUUUACAUUGCAUCAACUGGCCAAAACCCAAAGAUUGUUAAUUUAAAAGUAGCAAAUCUUCACCUUUGACGAGCUGCAACCGGUAAUUUUUUUGUCAGUUUUGCCUAAAAAAUUAGUCAAUCAACUAUCAAAAUUGUUGCCAAUUAACUUUCCCUCACUCAACUAAUUGAAUAACGGACUACUCAUUUCAGCUCUGAAGAAGAAUACAAUGAAUUUAAACAUUACAAUAAAAUUACUGUUUAUUUACCUGAAACAGUUAAUCUUGGGCUGCAGAUGAGGUUCUUGUUUUCCGUAGUAUUCGGCUGACACCAGCAAUUUCCGAGCCAAACAGCUGAUUGCGAAUCUUCCAUUUCCCCAUUUUAGUCAGAUAAAAUGUGUGACUGCAUCUGUAUUGACAGGCCUGAUGGGAUAAUAGGCUGUUUGUCCCACAGACCGUCUGUACAUGUUUGUAUUGUGGGAUCAACACAGUCUAACAGGGAUGUGUCCUGUAGGUGGGGCAGCUUUUCUCGUGACACGUUAAGCCUGCUGUUAAAGAUUUGUGUUGUUGUUGAUGUGUUGUGUUGUGCAUGUGUGAUUAUGCAAUAUAAUGUUUAUAUUAUUGUUUUAUUAUAUAUUUUUCUCUGACACAAAUGUAAAUAAAUACAUGAAGAUGUUUUUUGGAUAAA
Dicentrarchus labrax (European seabass) is the source of this 3110-nucleotide long non-coding RNA. RefSeq lists it as uncharacterized. NCBI's taxonomy places the organism in Eukaryota, Metazoa, Chordata, Actinopteri, Moronidae. The transcript has 8 exons. The record is from RefSeq and is a predicted model, not a curated record.